AGAAUAAGUGCAAAAAGAACUUUGUUUCCCAGAAUGCCUUGUUUUCUCAGGCGGUAGUGAGCCAAUCAGCGACACGGAUAUACCGUACAUAAAGGAAAUCCAGCGCGCGUUUCUUUCUUUGGCUUCCCUUGUUGUGCAGUAUGAUGACUCCUGGCCUGAGAAGACUAUGGGCUACGCCGGAAUUGAGGCCACGCACUGGCGAAGAUGUGGUCCAUGCAUUGGGCUCCUGGGCCUGCUUUACUGGCCACAUCCAGUUGGUAUGAGCUGCUCGUGGUCCUAGAGAUGGCAGUUUGGGCCUUGGUUCAGGUCCAGACAGAUUCCAGAGAGCCUGCCUGCAGUGGGGGCCUAGGCAAAGAGUUCGCAGACAAGCCCCUGGUGGUUGGGCCAGCCUUUCAUGAGCUCAGCACCUGGGGAAGGGCCGUGAGGGUCCAGUGCAUCAUGGAUCAUGUGGCAGUGGAAGGCAGGGGGCUGGGUUGACCCCCAAUUACUGAGGCUGGCUUUAAGGACAUGGACUUCCCUCCUUGGUUCGGGAUUCUGGUGCUGCUGCCUUCUGGAGUCGCCCCACAUCCCCACAGCAGCGUGAGCAUGAUGGGACUGAUCUGCUGGGGCUGUGCUGGAUUACUGCAGGGUUUGUGGGUGGUUUGCUGUGAUCCAGAUUCCUAGGUGUGGAGGGCUAAUGUGACUGGAGUGAGACCACAGCAGCUAUGGUGCGCUGAACACAGACCAGCCCUUCAGAGACUCAUUUCCCUCUGUUAGUCUGACUGUAUGCUAUACUUGUGACAAACCUUAUCUGCUGUUUGUGGAAGCAGUUGUAUACUUAUCUGCCAUUAAAGUAAUCAUGUCAAUCUA
Long non-coding RNA from Brienomyrus brachyistius, 849 nucleotides. RefSeq lists it as uncharacterized. The record is from RefSeq and is a predicted model, not a curated record. The transcript is spliced from 8 exons. Lineage: Eukaryota; Metazoa; Chordata; Actinopteri; Osteoglossiformes; Mormyridae.